CAGUAGCCGCGGGAAUACAGAGGGUGCAAGCGUUAAUCGGAAUUACUGGGCGUAAAGCGCGCGUAGGUGGUUUGUUAAGUUGGAUGUGAAAGCCCCGGGCUCAACCUGGGAACUGCAUCCAAAACUGGCAAGCUAGAGUACGGUAGAGGGUGGUGGAAUUUCCUGUGUAGCGGUGAAAUGCGUAGAUAUAGGAAGGAACACCAGUGGCGAAGGCGACCACCUGGACUGAUACUGACACUGAGGUGCGAAAGCGUGGGGAGCAAACAGGAUUAGACCCCAGUAGUCCCUGUCUCUUAUACAC
This 301-nucleotide ribosomal RNA is filed under the name uncultured bacterium. RNAcentral describes it as "partial 16S ribosomal RNA". It matches the Rfam family "Bacterial small subunit ribosomal RNA", at positions 509 to 809 of the family's 1533-position model. The record is from RNAcentral.